CAUGCCGUAAACGAUGAUUACUAGGUGUGGGUGGUCUGACCCCAUCCGUGCCGCCGUUAACACAAUAAGUAAUCCACCUGGGAAGUACGACCGCAAGGUUGAAACUCAAAGGAAUUGACGGGGGCCCGCACAAGCAGUGGAGUAUGUGGUUUAAUUCGACGCAACGCGAAGAACCUUACCAGGUCUUGACAUCUGCCGAAUCCGGUGGAAACAUUGGAGUGCCCUUCGGGGAACGGCAAGACAGGUGG
Molecule: ribosomal RNA, 248 nt
Filed under: uncultured Oscillospiraceae bacterium
Lineage: Bacteria; Bacillati; Bacillota; Clostridia; Eubacteriales; Oscillospiraceae
Description: partial 16S ribosomal RNA
Rfam family: Bacterial small subunit ribosomal RNA
Source: RNAcentral